UCUUCCGUCGGUCGAGGAGAUCGACUCAGAAGGGUGAUCGGGCCUUGCCGACUUUUGUUUCCUUUGUCUUUUUCCUUUUUGGAAUACUUGUAAUCGGGCUUCGACCCGACUUUGUAAACUUUCUUUGAACUUUGAAUGAAAGCUUCUUUCACUUUAUCCUUCGUCUGUUUCUUUCAUGUGUGUUGCUGAAUGUCUUCGUGAGUCGCUAACUUAUGUAAGUCGCUAACCCCCAUAGGUCGGUUAGGACGUUCGGCAACUCGUGCCGCCACGAAGGUAGAGUAGGUCCCGACUUUGGAUCGGCCUCUGGUAGUCAAGGUCGUCAGUCGGGCGCGUCCGUUGAGUCGGGAGCCGACCGACCGUGAUAAAGGUUCGGUAGUCGGGUCCCCUCUGACGCGUUCAGUCGAAUGUCUUCCGGCGUAUUCGGUCGAGGGAGCACCGAUAAGUCGGACCCUGAUACCCUUGUGUCGGGUAUCCGUACUGCGCCUCACGAUAUGCGGUGGUAAGCCGGAUAUCUU
RNAcentral lists this long non-coding RNA (515 nucleotides) under Elaeis guineensis (African oil palm). RNAcentral's name for it is "long non-coding RNA (EGUI_LNC076836)". The record is from RNAcentral. Lineage: Eukaryota; Viridiplantae; Streptophyta; Magnoliopsida; Arecales; Arecaceae.